AUAAUUUCAUGUUUUUUCUCUUGACUAUUUCUAAUGCUUCUGAAAUUAAUCCUUGUUUCAUAUUUGGUACUUGUUUGAUUACUUUUUCUCCUCCCCAGUCUACCUUUAUGUUUUUGAUGCAUAGCAUUCCACCACUAGUACUGUUGCCAUGUUGUCAUUCCUUAUGUUAUUUUCAUGUUCAUGGAGUCUUUCUUUUAGGGUACAGCGGAUGACCCCUAUAUAUGAGGCUUUUUGUCCUGUGCUCAUGUUUUUAACUGGUGUGCUAUAGAUUCCUUAUUUUUUGUUAUUUUGUUUGGAGUCUUUACAAUUCCUAAG
This 315-nucleotide long non-coding RNA is filed under the name Androctonus crassicauda. Lineage: Eukaryota; Metazoa; Arthropoda; Arachnida; Scorpiones; Buthidae. The record is from RNAcentral.